UNGAUAGCAAGAUAAGGGUGGAUGGCGGC
This 29-nucleotide non-coding RNA is filed under the name Mus musculus (house mouse). The record is from RNAcentral. Lineage: Eukaryota; Metazoa; Chordata; Mammalia; Rodentia; Muridae.